Non-coding RNA from Podarcis lilfordi (Lilford's wall lizard), 257 nucleotides. NCBI's taxonomy places the organism in Eukaryota, Metazoa, Chordata, Lepidosauria, Squamata, Lacertidae. The record is from the annotation of a GenBank genome assembly.
AAGCCAGCAGAGCAAGAGGGAGAGCUGCGCAGCCUUCACAGUGAUGCAUGAUGAGGGAAGGAAGGGAGCUCUUACGGAGCCCCUUCUGUCCCUCAUUCUGCUUUGCUGGGAAGCCAGCAGACCAAGAGGCACUGCACAGCUCUCCCUCUUGCUCUGCUGGCUUCAGCAGAGCAGCGCAGCGCCUCUUCAGUAAAGCGGGAGGAGGAAAGGAAGGGGCUCCGUAAGGGCUCCCUUCCUUUCCUCCUCUUGCUUCGCUG